UGGAGUCGUCCUUGAAAUACCACCCUUGUAGUUUUGAUGUUCUAACGUUGGUCCCUGAAUCGGGAUUACGGACAGUGCCUGGUGGGUAGUUUGACUGGGGCGGUCUCCUCCCAAAGAGUAACGGAGGAGCACGAAGGUGGGCUAAACACGGUUGGACAUCGUGUGGUUAGUGCAAUGGCAUAAGCCCGCUUGACUGCGAGAAUGACAAUUCGAGCAGGUGCGAAAGCAGGUCAUAGUGAUCCGGUGGUUCUGAAUGGAAGGGCCAUCGCUCAACGGAUAAAAGGUACUCCGGGGAUAACAGGCUGAUACCGCCCAAGAGUUCAUAUCGACGGCGGUGUUUGGCACCUCGAUGUCGGCUCAUCACAUCCUGGGGCUGAAGUCGGUCCCAAGGGUAUGGCUGUUCGCCAUUUAAAGUGGUACGCGAGCUGGGUUUAGAACGUCGUGAGACAGUUCGGUCCCUAUCUGCCGUGGGCGUUGGAAAAUUGAAAGGGGCUGCUCCUAGUACGAGAGGACCGGAGUGGACGAACCUCUGGUGUUCGGGUUGUCAUGCCAAUGGCAUUGCCCGGUAGCUAAGUUCGGAAUCGAUAACCGCUGAAAGCAUCUAAGCGGGAAGCGAGCCUUGAGAUGAGUUUUCCCUGGCACUAUAAGUGUCCUAAAGGGUUGUCGUAGACUACGACGUUGAUAGGCAGGGUGUGUAAGUGCUGCGAGGCAUUGAGCUAACCUGUACUAAUUGCCCGUGAGGCUUAACCAUACAACACCCAAGGGGUUU
This 769-nucleotide ribosomal RNA is filed under the name Vibrio cyclitrophicus 1F289. Its description in RNAcentral is "bacterial LSU rRNA". It matches the Rfam family "Bacterial large subunit ribosomal RNA", at positions 2181 to 2925 of the family's 2925-position model. Lineage: Bacteria; Pseudomonadati; Pseudomonadota; Gammaproteobacteria; Vibrionales; Vibrionaceae. The record is from RNAcentral.